RNA transcript from Homo sapiens (human), 11747 nucleotides. It is a transcript of the gene named PKD1P5-LOC105376752 readthrough, with no coding region annotated. Lineage: Eukaryota; Metazoa; Chordata; Mammalia; Primates; Hominidae. The transcript has 38 exons. The record is from RefSeq and is marked validated.
GCGGCCGCAGCCCCAUCCAGCCCCGCGCCCGCCAUGCCGUCCGCCGGCCCCGCCUGAGCCGCGGCCUCCGCGCGCGGGCGGGCCUGGGGACGGCGGGGCCAUGCGCGCGCUGCCCUAACGAUGCCGCCCGCCGCGCCCGCCCGCCUGGCGCUGGCCCUGGGCCUGGGCCUGUGGCUCGGGGCGCUGGCGGGGGGCCCCGGGCGCGGCUGCGGGCCUUGCGAGCCCCCCUGCCUCUGCGGCCUAGCGCCCGGCGCCGCCUGCCGCGUCAACUGCUCGGGCCGCGGGCCGCGGGCUGCGGACGCUCGGUCCCGCGCUGCGCAUCCCCGCGGACGCCACAGCGCUAGACGUCUCCCACAACCUGCUCCGGGCGCUGGACGUUGGGCUCCUGGCGAACCUCUCGGCGCUGGCAGAGCUGGAUAUAAGCAACAACAAGAUUUCUACGUUAGAAGAAGGAAUAUUUGCUAAUUUAUUUAAUUUAAGUGAAAUAAACCUGAGUGGGAACCCGUUUGAGUGUGACUGUGGCCUGGCGUGGCUGCCGCGAUGGGCGGAGGAGCAGCAGGUGCGGGUGGUGCAGCCCGAGGCAGCCACGUGUGCUGGGCCUGGCUCCCUGGCUGGCCAGCCUCUGCUUGGCAUCCCCUUGCUGGACAGUGGCUGUGGUGAGGAGUAUGUCGCCUGCCUCCCUGACAACAGCUCAGGCACCGUGGCAGCAGUGUCCUUUUCAGCUGCCCACGAAGGCCUGCUUCAGCCAGAGGCCUGCAGCGCCUUCUGCUUCUCCACCGGCCAGGGCCUCGCAGCCCUCUCCGAGCAGGGCUGGUGCCUGUGUGGGUCAGCCCAGCCCUCCAGUGCCUCCUUCGCCUGCCUGUCCCUCUGCUCCGGCCCCCCGCCGCCUCCUGCCCCCACCUGUAGGGGCCCCACCCUCCUCCAGCACGUCUUCCCUGCCUCCCCAGGGGCCACCCUGGUGGGGCCCCACGGACCCCUGGCCUCCGGCCAGCUAGCAGCCUUCCACAUCGCUGCCCCGCUCCCUGUCACUGCCACACGCUGGGACUUCGGAGACGGCUCCCCCGAGGUGGAUGCCGCUGGGCCGGCUGCCUCGCAUCGCUAUGUGCUGCCUGGGCGCUAUCACGUGAUGGCCGUGCUGGCCCUGGGGGCCGGCUCAGCCCUGCUGGGGACAGACGUGCAGGUGGAAGCGGCACCUGCCGCCCUGGAGCUCGUGUGCCCGUCCUCGGUGCAGAGUGACGAGAGCCUCGACCUCAGCAUCCAGAACCGCGGUGGUUCAGGCCUGGAGGCCGCCUACAGCAUCGUGGCCCUGGGCGAGGAGCCGGCCCGAGCGGUGCACCCGCUCUGCCCCUCGGACACGGAGAUCUUCUCUGGCAACGGGCACUGCUACCGCCUGGUGGUGGAGAAGGCGGCCUGGCUGCAGGCGCAGGAGCAGUGUCGGGCCUGGGCCGGGGCCGCCCUGGCAAUGGUGGACAGUCCCGCCAUGCAGCGCUUCCUGGUCUCCCGGGUCACCAGGAGCCUAGACAUGUGGAUCGGCUUCUCGACUGUGCAGGGGGUGGAGGUGGGCCCAGCCCCGCAGGGCGAGGCCUUCAGCCUGGAGAGCUGCCAGAACUGGCUGCCCGGGGAGCCACACCCAGCCACAGCCGAGCACUGCGUCCGGCUCGGGCCCACCGGGUGGUGUAACACCGACCUGUGCUCAGCGCCGCACAGCUACGUCUGCGAGCUGCGGCCUGGAGGCCCAGUGCAGGAUGCCGAGAACCUCCUCGUGGGAGCGCCCAGUGGGGACCUGCAGGGACCCCUGAUGCCUCUGGCACGGCAGGACGGCCUCUCAGCCCCGCAUGAGCCCGUGGAGGUCAUGGUAUUCCCGGGCCUGCGUCUGAGCCGUGAAGCCUUCCUCACCACGGCCGAAUUUGGGACCCAGGAGCUCCGGCGGCCCGCCCAGCUGCGGCUGCAGGUGUACCGGCUCCUCAGCACAGCAGGGACCCCGGAGAACGGCAGCGAGCCUGAGAGCAGGUCCCCGGACAACAGGACCCAGCUGGCCCCCGCGUGCAUGCCAGGGGGACGCUGGUGCCCUGGAGCCAACAUCUGCUUGCCGCUGGACGCCUCCUGCCACCCCAGGCCUGCGCCAAUGGCUGCACGUCAGGGGCCAGGGCUACUCGGGGCCCCCUAUGCGCUAUGGAGAGAGUUCCUCUUCUCCGUUCCCGCGGGGCCCCCCGCGCAGUACUCGGUCACCCUCCACGGCCAGGAUGUCCUCAUGCUCCCUGGUGACCUCGUUGGCUUGCAGCACGACGCUGGCCCUGGCGCCCUCCCGCACUGCUCGCCGGCUCCCGGCCACCCUGGUCCCCAGGCCCCGUACCUCUCCGCCAACGCCUCGUCAUGGCUGCCCCACUUGCCAGCCCAGCUGGAGGGCACUUGGGCCUGCCCUGCCUGUGCCCUGCGGCUGCUUGCAGCCACGGAACAGCUCACCGUGCUGCUGGGCCUGAGGCCCAACCCUGGGCUGCGGCUGCCUGGGCGCUAUGAGGUCCGGGCAGAGGUGGGCAAUGGCGUGUCCAGGCACAACCUGUCCUGCAGCUUUGACGUGGUCUCCCCAGUGGCUGGGCUGCGGGUCAUCUACCCUGCCCCCCGCGACGGCCGCCUCUACGUGCCCACCAACGGCUCAGCCUCGGUGCUCCAGGUGGACUCUGGUGCCAGCGCCACGGCCACGGCUCGCUGGCCUGGGGGCAGUGUCAGCGCUCGCUUUGAGAAUGCCUGCCCUGCCCUGGUGGCCACCUUCGUGCCCGGCUGCCCCUGGGAGACCAAUGAUACCCUGUUCUCAGUGGUAGCACUGCCGUGGCUCGGUGAGGGGGAGCACGUGAUGGACGUUGUGGUGGAAAACAGCGCCAGCCGGGCCAACCUCAGCCUGCGGGUGACGGCGGAGGAGCCCAUCUGUGGCCUCCGCGCCACGCCCAGCCCCGAGGCCCGUGUACUGCAGGGAGUCCCAGUGAGGUACAGCCCCGUGGUGGAGGCCGGCUCGGACAUGGUCUUCCGGUGGACCAUCAACGACAAGCAGUCCCUGACCUUCCAGAACGUGGUCUUCAAUGUCAUUUAUCAGAGCGCGGCGGUCUUCAAGCUCUCACUGACGGCCUCCAACCACGUGAGCAACGUCACCGUGAACUACAACAUCACCGUGGAGCGGAUGAACAGGAUGCAGGGCCUGCGGGUCUCCACAGUGCCGGCCGUGCUGUCCCCCAAUGCCACGCUGGCACUGACGGCGGGCGUGCUGGUGGACUCGGCUGUGGAGGUGGCCUUCCUGUGGACCUUUGGGGAUGGGGAGCAGGCCCUCCACCAGUUCCAGCCUCCGUACAACGAGUCCUUCCCAGUUCCAGACCCCUCGGUGGCCCAGGUGCUGGUGGAGCACAAUGUCACGCACACCUACGCUGCCCCAGGUGAGUACGUCCUGACCGUGCUGGCAUCUAAUGCCUUCGAGAACCGGAUGCAGCAGGUGCCUGUGAGCGUGCGCGCCUCCCUGCCCUCCGAGGCUGUGGGUGUGAGUGACGGCGUCCUGGUGGCCGGCCGGCCCGUCACCUUCUACCCGCAUCUGCUGCCCUCGCCUGGGGGUGUUCUUUACACGUGGGACUUCGGGGACGGCUCCCCUGUCCUGACCCAGAGCCAGCCGGCUGCCAACCACACCUAUCCCUCGAGGGGCAUCUACCACGUGCGCCUGGAGGUCAACAACACGGUGAGCGGUGCGGCGGCCCAGGCGGAUGUGCGCGUCUUUGAGGAGCUCCGCGGGCUCAGCGUGGACAUGAGCCUGGCCGUGGAGCAGGGCGCCCCCGUGGUGGUCAGUGCCGCGGUGCAGACGGGCGACAACAUCACGUGGACCUUCGACAUGGGGGACGGCACCGUGCUGUCGGGCCCAGAGGCCACAGUGGAGCAUGUGUACCUGCGGGCACAGAACUGCACAGUGACCGUGGGUGCGGCCAGCCCCGCCGGCCACCUGGCCCGGAGCCUGCACGUGCUGGUCUUCGUCCUGGAGGUGCUGCGCGUCGAGCCCGCCGCCUGCAUCCCCACUCAGCCUGACGCGCGGCUCACGGCCUACGUCACCGGGAACCCGGCCCGCUACCUCUUCGACUGGACCUUUGGGGAUGGCUCCUCCAACACGACCAUGCGGGGGUGCCCGACGGUGACACACAACUUCACGCGUAGCGGCACGUUCCCCCUGGCGCUGGUGCUGUCCAGCCGCGUGAACAGGGCGCGUUACUUCACCAGCAUCUGCGUGGAGCCAGAGGUGGGCAACGUCACCCUGCAGCCAGAGAGGCAGUUUGUGCAGCUCGGGGACGAGGCCCGGCUGGUGGCAUGUGCCUGGCCCCCGUUCCCCUACCGCUACACCUGGGACUUUGGCACCGAAGAAGCCGUCCCCGCCCGUGUCGGGGGCCCUGAGGUGACGUUCAUCUACCGAGACCCAGGCUCCUAUCUUGUGACAGUCACCGCGUCCAACAACAUCUCCGCUGCCAAUGACUCAGCCCUGGUGGAGGUGCAGGAGCCCGUGCUGGUCACCAGCAUCAAGGUCAAUGGCUCCCUUGGGCUGGAGCUGCAGCAGCCGUACCUGUUCUCUGCUGUGGGCCGUGGGCGCCCCGCCAGCUACCUGUGGGAUCUGGGGGACGGUGGGCGGCUCGAGGGUCCGGAGGUCACCCACGCUUACAACAGCACAGGUGACUUCACCGUUAGGGUGGCCGGCUGCAAUGAGGUGAGCCGCAGCGAGGCCUGGCUCAAUGUGACGGUGAAGCGGCGCGUGCGGGGGCUCAUCGUCAAUGCCAGCUGCACGGUGGUGCCCCUGAAUGGGAGCAUGAGCUUCAGCACCUCGCUGGAGGCCGGCAGUGAUGUGCGCUAUUCCUGGGUGCUCUGUGACCGCUGCACGCCCAUCUCUGGGGGUCCUGCCAUCUCUUUACACCUUCCGCUCCGUGGGCACCUUCAAUAUCAUCGUCACAGCUGAGAACGAGGUGGGCUCCGCCCAGGACAGCAUCUUCGUCUAUGUCCUGCAGCUCAUAGAGGGGCUGCAGGUGGUGGGCGGUGGCCGCUACUUCCCCACCAACCACAUGGUACAGCUGCAGGCCGUGGUCAGGGACGGCACCAUCUCCUACAGCUGGACUGCCUGGAGGGACAGGGGCCCGGCCCUGGCCGGCAGCGGCAAAGGCUUCUCGCUCACCGCGCUCGAGGCCGGCUCCUACCAUGUGCAGCUGCGGGCCACCAACAUGCUGGGCAGCGCCUGGGCUGACUGCACCGUGGACUUCGUGGAGCCUGUGGGGUGGCUGAUGGUGGCCGCCUCCCCGAACCCAGCUGCCGUCAACACAAGCGUCACCCUCAGUGCCGAGCUGGCUGGUGGCAGUGGUGUCGUAUACACUUGGUCCUUGGAGGAGGGGCUGAGCUGGGAGACCCCCGAGCCAUUUACCACCCACAGCUUCCCCACACCCGGCCUGCACUUGGUCACCAUGACGGCAGGGAACCCGCUGGGCUCAGCCAACGCCACCGUGGAAGUGGAUGUGCAGGUGCCUGUGAGUGGCCUCAGCAUCAGGGCCAGCGAGCCGGGAGGCAGCUUCGUGGCGGCCGGGUCCUCUGUGCCCUUUUGGGGGCAGCUGGCCACGGGCACCAAUGUGAGCUGGUGCUGGGCUGUGCCCGGCGGCAGCAGCAAGCGUGGCCCUCAUGUCACCAUGGUCUUCCCGGAUGCUGGCACCUUCAACAUCUGGCUCAAUGCCUCCAACGCAGUCAGCUGGGUCUCAGCCACGUACAACCUCACGGUGGAGGAGCCCAUCGUGGGCCUGGUGCUGUGGGCCAGCAGCAAGGUGGUGGCGCCCGGGCAGCUUGUCCAUUUUCAGAUCCUGCUGGCUGCCGGCUCAGCUGUCACCUUCCGCCUGCAGGUCGGCGGGGCCAGCCCCGAAGUGCUCCCUGGGCCCCGUUUCUCCCACAGCUUCCCCCGCAUCGGAGACCACGUGGUGAGCGUGCAGGGCAAAAACCACGUGAGCUGGGCCCAGGCGCAGGUGCGCAUCGUGGUGCUGGAGGCCGUGAGCGGGCUGCAGGUGCCCAACUGCUGUGAGCCUGGCAUCGCCAUGGGCACUGAGAGGAACUUCACAGCCCGCGUGCAGCGCGGCUCUCGGGUCGCCUACGCCUGGUACUUCUCGCUGCAGAAGGUCCGGGGCGACUCUCUGUUCAUCCUGUCGGGCCGCGACGUCACCUACACGCCGUGGCCGCGGGGCUGUUGGAGAUCCAGGUGCGUGCCUUCAACGCCCUGGGCAGUGAGAACCGCACGCUGGUGCUGGAGGUUCAGGACGCCGUCCAGUAUGUGGCCCUGCGCAGCGGCCCCUGCUUCACCAACCGCUCGGCGCAGUUUGAGGCCGCCACCAGCCCCAGCCCCCGGCGCGUGGCCUACCACUGGGACUUUGGGGAUGGGUCCCCAGGGCAGGACACAGAUGAGCCCAGGGCCGAGCACUCCUACCUGAGGCCUGGGGACUACCGCGUGCAGGUGAACGCCUCCAACCUGGUGAGCUUUUUCGUGGCGCAGGCCACGGUGACCGUCCAGGUGCUGGCCUGCCGGGAGCCGGAGGUGGACGUGGUCCUGCCCCUGCAGGUGCUGAUGCGACGAUCACAGCGCAACUGCCUGGAUGCCUACGUUGACCUGCGCGACUGUGUCACCUACCAGACUGAGUACCGCUGGGAGGUGUACCGCACCGCCAGCUGCCAGCGGCCGGGGCGCCCGGCGCGUGUGGCCCUGCCCGGCGUGGACGUGAGCCGGCCUCAGCUGGUGCUGCCGUGGCUGGCGCUGCCUGUGGGGCACUACUGCUUUGUGUUUGUCGUGUCAUUUGGGGACACGCCACUGGCACGGAGCAUCCAGGCCAAUGUGACGGUGGCCCCCGAGCGCCUGGUGCCCAUCACUGAGGGUGGCUCCUACCGCGUGUGGUCAGACACACAGGACCUGGUGCUGGAUGGGAGCGAGUCCUACGACCCCAACCUGGAGGACGGCGACCAGACGCCGCUCAGUUUCCAGUGGGCCUGUGUGGCUUCGACACAGAGGGAGGCUGGCGGGUGUGCGCUGAACUUUGGGCCCCGCGGGAGCAGCACGGUCACCAUUCCACGGGAACGGCUGGCAGCUGGCGUGGAGUACACCUUCAGCCUCACCGUGUGGAAGGCCGGCCGCAAGGAGGAGGCCACCAACCAGACGGUGCUGAUCCGGAGUGGCCGGGUGCCCAUUGUGUCCUUGGAGUGUGUGUCCUGCAAGGCACAGGCCGUGUACGAAGUGAGCCGCAGCUCCUACGUGUACCUGGAGGGCCGCUGCCUCAAUUGCAGCAGCGGCUCCAAGCGAGGGCGGUGGGCUGCACGUACGUUCAGCAACAAGACACUGGUGCUGGAUGAGACCACCACAUCCACGGGCAGCGCAGGCAUGUGACUGGUGCUGCGGCGGGGCGUGCUGCGGGACGGCGAGGGAUACACCUUCACGCUGACGGUGCUGGGCCGCUCUGGCGAGGAGGAGGGCUGUGCCUCCAUCCCCCUGUCCCCCAACCGCCCGCCGCUGGAGGGCUCUUGCCGCCUCUUCCCACUGGGCGCUGUGCACGCCCUCACCACCAAGGUGCACUUCGAAUGCACGGGCUGGCAUGACGCGGAGGAUGCUGGCGCCCCGCUGGUGUACGCCCUGCUGCUGCAGCGCUGUUGCCAGGGCCACUGCAAAGAGUUCUGUGUCUACAAGAGCAGCCUCUCCGGCUACGGAGCCGUGCUGCCCCCGGGUUUCAGGCCACACUUCGAGGUGGGCCUGGCCGUGGUGGUGCAGGACCAGCUGGGAGCCGCUGUGGUCGCCCUCAACAGGUCUCUGGCCAUCACCCUCCCAGAGCCCAACGGCAGCGCAAUGGGGCUCACAGUCUGGCUGCACGGGCUCACCGCUAGUGUGCUCCCGGGGCUGCUGCGGCAGGCCGAUCCCCAGCACGUCAUCGAGUACUCGCUGGCCCUGGUCACUGUGCUGAACGAGUACGAGCGGGCCCUGGACGUGGCGGCAGAGCCCAAGCACGAGCGGCAGCGCCGAGCCCAGAUACGCAAGAACAUCACGGAGACUCUGGUGUCCCUGAGGGUCCACACUGUGGAUGACAUCCAGCAGAUCGCUGCUGCGCUGGCCCAGUGCAUGGGGCCCAGAUGUGGGGAGGGACUAAGAAGAUGCUGCUCUGUGCCCUCCACUCUCCCCUCCCCUCCCCCUUCCCUCCCCUAGCCCCUCCCCUCCCCUUUCCCUCCCCUAACCCCUCCCCUCCCCCUUCCCUCCCCUAGCCCCUCCCCCCUCACCUAGCCCCUGCCUCCUCCCCUAGCCCCUCCCCUCCCCUAGCCCUUCCCCUCCUCCCCUCCCCUAGAGCUUCCCCUCACCUCAUCCCUCCCUUUUCUCCAUCUCUCUCCCCUUUUCUCCAUUUCCCCCCCGAUCCUCCCCGUCCUUUUGUCCAUUCCCCUCAUCUUUCUUAUCCCCCUUAUCCUCCUUCCCCUCCCUUAUCCCCCUUCCCCUCCCUUAUCCCCCUUAUCCCCUUCCCCUCCCUUUCCCCCUGCUCCUCUUCUUCUCCCCUUUCUCUUUUCUCUACCCUUUUCCUUCCUUUUUCCUCCCUCUCCCCAUCAUCCCCCUCAUCUUCGUCCUCAUCCCCAUCCCCUUCCCCCUCCCCCUCCACCACUCUCUCUCCAGCUUCCCUCUUCCUUCUGCCUGCACCUCGCUCUCUGCCCCCUCAGGUUCCCCCUUUCUCCCAGUCCCCACCCUCCGGCUCCCCCUUUUUGCCUGCCCCCACCCUCCCUCUGCCUCCCUGUCUCUGCACUGACCUCACGCCUGUCUGCAGGAGACCUCAUCCACCUGGCCAGCUCAGACGUGCGGGCACCACAGCGCUCAGAGCUGGGAGCCGAGUCACCAUCGCGGAUGGUGGCGUCCCAGGCCUACAACCUGACCUCUGCCCUCACGCCCAUCGUCACGCGCUCCCGCGUGCUCAACGAGGAGCCCCUGACGCUGGCGGGCUUUCAGCAGGGCCCCGGCCAACCUCAGUGACGUGGUGCAGCUCAUCUUUCUGGUGGACUCCAAUCCCUUUCCCUUUGGCUAUAUCAGCAACUACACCGUCUCCACCAAGGUGGCCUCGAUGGCGUUCCAGACACAGGCCGGCGCCCAGAUCCCCAUCGAGCGGCUGGCCUCAGAGCGCGCCUCACCGUGAAGGCCGCUACCUGUCUGAGGAACCCGAGCCCUACCUGGCAGUCUACCUGCACUCGGAGCCCCGGCCCAAUGAGCGCAACUGCUCGGCUAGCAGGAGGAUCCGCCCAGAGUCCCUCCAGGGUGCCGACCACCGGCCCUACACCUUCUUCAUUUCCCCGGGGACCAGAGACCCAGUGGGGAGUUACCGUCUGAACCUCUCCAGCCACUUCCGCUGGUCGGCGCUGGAGGUGUCCGUGGGCUUGUACACGUCCCUGUGCCAGUACUUCAGCGAGGAGGACGUGGUGUGGCGGACAGAGGGGCUGCUGCCCCUGGAGGAGACCUCGCCCCGCCAGGCCGUCUGCCUCACCCGCCACCUCACCGCCUUCGGCACCAGCCUCUUCGUGCCCCCAAGCCAUAUCCGCUUUGUGUUUCCUGAGCCAACAGCGGAUGUAAACUACAUCGUCAUGCUGACAUGUGCUGUGUGCCUGGUGACCUACAUGGUCAUGGCCGCCAUCCUGCACAAGCUGGACCAGUUGGAUGCCAGCCGGGGCUGCGCCAUCCCCUUCUGUGGGCAGCGGGGCCGCUUCAAGUACGAGAUCCUCGUCAAGACAGGCUGGGGCCGGGGCUCAGGUACCACGGCCCACGUGGGCAUCAUGCUGUAUGGGGUGGACAGCCGGAGCGGCCACCGGCACCUGGACGGCGACAGAGCCUUCCACCGCAACAGUCUGGACAUCUUCCAGAUCGCCACCCCGCACAGCCUGGGUAGCAUGUGGAAGAUCCGAGUGUGGCACGACAACAAAGGGCUCAGCCCUGCCUGGUUCCUGCAGCACAUCAUCGUCAGGGACCUGCAGACGGCACGCAGCACCUUCUUCCUGGUCAAUGACUGGCUUUCGGUGGAGACGGAGGCCAACGGGGGCCUGGUGGAGAAGGAGGUGCUGGCCGCGAGUCACGCAGCCCUGUUGCGCUUCCGGCGCCUGCUGGUGGCUGAGCUGCAGCGUGGCUUCUUUGACAAGCACAUCUGGCUCUCCAUAUGGGACCGGCCGCCUCGUAGCUGUUUCACUCGCAUCCAGAGGGCCACCUGCUGCGAUCUCCUCAUCUGUCUCUUCCUGGGCGCCAACGCCGUGUGGUACGGGGCUGUUGGAGACUCUGCCUACAGCACGGGGCGUGUGUCCAGGCUGAACCCGCUGAGCGUCGACACAGUCGCUGUUGGCCUGGUGUCCAGCGUGGUUGUCUAUCCCGUCUACCUGGCCAUCCUCUUUCUCUUCCGGAUGUCCCGGAGCAAGGUGGCUGGGAGCCCGAGCCCCACACCUGCCGGGCAGCAGGUGCUGGACGUCGACAGCUGCCUGGACUCAUCCGUGCUGGACAGCUCCUUCCUCACGUUCUCAGGCCUCCACGCUGAGGUGAGGGCUCUACUGGGGGUCCUGCCGCCUUGGCGCAGCUUGGACUCAAGACCCUGUGCACCUCUCAGCAGGCCUUUGCUGGACAGAUGAAGAGUGACUUGUUUCUGGAUGAUUCUAAGAGGUUAUCAAUACUCUGGCUGACCAUCGUCAUCGUGGGACUGACUUUGGUGGAAGUCCUUGGUUACUUAUCAUUACUGUGUUUCUGAGAAGUUAUAAAUUUGCCAUCUCCCUCUGCACAAGUUACCUUUGUGUGUCUUUCCUGAAGACUAUCUUCCCGUCUCAAAAUGGACAUGAUGGAUCCACGGAUGUACAGCAGAGAGCCAGGAGGUCCAACUGCCGUAGACAGGAAGGAAUUAAAAUUGUCCUGGAAGACAUCUUUACUUUAUGGAGACAGGUGGAAACCAAAGUUCGAGCUAAAAUCCGUAAGAUGAAGGUGACAACAAAAGUCAACCGUCAUGACAAAAUCAAUGGAAAGAGGAAGACCGCCAAAGAACAUCUGAGGAAACUAAGCAUGAAAGAACGUGAGCACGGAGAAAAGGAGAGGCAGGUGUCAGAGGCAGAGGAAAAUGGGAAAUUGGAUAUGAAAGAAAUACACACCUACAUGGAAAUGUUUCAACGUGCGCAAGCGUUGCGGCGGCGGGCAGAGGACUACUACAGAUGCAAAAUCACCCCUUCUGCAAGAAAGCCUCUUUGCAACCGGGUCAGAAUGGCGGCAGUGGAGCAUCGUCAUUCUUCAGGAUUGCCCUACUGGCCCUACCUCACAGCUGAAACUUUAAAAAACAGGAUGGGCCACCAGCCACCUCCUCCAACUCAACAACAUUCUAUAAUUGAUAACUCCCUGAGCCUCAAGACACCUUCCGAGUGUGUGCUCUAUCCCCUUCCACCCUCAGCGGAUGAUAAUCUCAAGACACCUCCCGAGUGUCUGCUCACUCCCCUUCCACCCUCAGCUCUACCCUCAGCGGAUGAUAAUCUCAAGACACCUGCCGAGUGCCUGCUCUAUCCCCUUCCACCCUCAGCGGAUGAUAAUCUCAAGACACCUCCCGAGUGUCUGCUCACUCCCCUUCCACCCUCAGCUCCACCCUCAGCGGAUGAUAAUCUCAAGACACCUCCUGAGUGUGUCUGCUCACUCCCCUUCCACCCUCAGCGGAUGAUAAUCUCAAGAAACUAAGGAAGAAUAAAUAAAU